RNAcentral lists this unclassified non-coding RNA (391 nucleotides) under soil metagenome. RNAcentral describes it as "partial contains 5.8S ribosomal RNA, internal transcribed spacer 2, and large subunit ribosomal RNA". The stretch from base 1 to 122 matches the Rfam family "5.8S ribosomal RNA", at positions 35 to 154 of the family's 154-position model. The record is from RNAcentral.
GAUGAAGAACGCAGCGAAAUGCGAUACUUGGUGUGAAUUGCAGAAUCCCGUGAACCAUCGAGUCUUUGAACGCAAGUUGCGCCCGAAGCCAUUAGGCCGAGGGCACGCCUGCCUGGGCGUCACACGUCGUUGCCCCCCCAUCUACUCCUUCGGGAUUGCGGGGGGCGGAUGAUGGCCUCUCGUGCGCCUCGUCGCGCGGUUGGCCUAAAUACCAAGUCCUCGGCGACGCACGCCACGACAAUCGGUGGUUGCGAAACCUCGGUUGCCUGUCGUGUGCGGUCGUCGCGCAUCGAGGGCUCGAAAAAAUUGCCGGGCUUCGGCUCGACUUUCAACGCGACCCCAGGUCAGGCGGGGUUACCCGCUGAAUUUAAGCAUAUCAAUAAGCGGAGGA